AUUUAAAUAGCUUAAAAAGAGCAUCGUAUUGAAGUUGCGGGUGUGGUUUAUACCUUUAUAUA
This 62-nucleotide transfer RNA is filed under the name Paranurophorus simplex. RNAcentral describes it as "tRNA-Phe". Lineage: Eukaryota; Metazoa; Arthropoda; Collembola; Entomobryomorpha; Isotomidae. The record is from RNAcentral.